Sarcophilus harrisii (Tasmanian devil) is the source of this 1009-nucleotide long non-coding RNA. RefSeq lists it as uncharacterized. The record is from RefSeq and is a predicted model, not a curated record. The transcript has 3 exons. Lineage: Eukaryota; Metazoa; Chordata; Mammalia; Dasyuromorphia; Dasyuridae.
CAAAUAUCUUGUCUUCUAGGAGUUUGGCUUUAGUCUGUUCACUACAGAACCAUCCUAUUGGUGGCUUUCUUCUGCUGGAAAGCUUGAUGUUAAAAAAUGUAAUGUCCCUCUGGGUGCCUGGUAAUUGACUUUUGAACUCAGGAACUUUUAUUUUCUGAAACAUUCAGAUUUAGAAAUUCUUGAAUUCAGGAUUACCCAUAAGGAAACUUCUAAGGGUUAUUUCUUUUCAGCAUUGUACUUCUUUGACCUGACUCAGAGAAGGAAAUAGAAGGUAGACAGUAUUGGGAGUUCUAGGAAUUCCCCUCCCAGCCUACAUACUACAGAUGGGACAUUUUCUCUCAGUGAGGAUUUAUAUCAGUCAGCUGGUCAUCAGGAGACAACUACAGUCAUCAGGAAACAACUACAGUCACCAGGGAACAAUUAGAAUAGCUCCUUUGCCUUCUUACUAAGAGGGUGUGAACAAAUCUUUCAUUGAAUUGGAAAUGGGCAAGGCCAAAUGCCAUAUGACAAUUGGCUUUGCUUCUGGAUGAUAAUUCUUGUAGUACUAUGGUAUCAAUAUAUUUCAAGAAUUCAAGUAAGUCUAAGUCGAGGGUAACUGUUGGUCACUUGUGGCAAAAGACAACAGGAUGGCAGAAGAGGGAUUUCUUUCUCUUUCCUUCCAGUUUCUAGAGUAAAGGUACUUGAUAAAUAAGAAAACAUGCUUUCUGGAAGUCUGAGAGUUUUUCCAUUUGAAUGAAUCUAGGCAGGAGGCAGCAAUUGAGCUGAGACACACACAAUUCAUGGAGAUCAUGAGACAGGGAAGAGCAGUCCAGAAGAAAACAGAUGAUAAAACCAUGUCACAAAGACCCUGUGGUCAGAAGACGACUAUGGGGAGGACUCCAGAGAGAAGAAAAAGGACGUCAAACUCUGUACCAGAAAUGUGGGUGGCCAUAAUCACAUAUAUUUUUUAUAUGUUUACUCUGAGGUACCACUUUACAACUCUCAGAUUGAUUAAGAUGACGGGAAAAGA